RNAcentral lists this unclassified non-coding RNA (430 nucleotides) under soil metagenome. RNAcentral describes it as "partial contains 5.8S ribosomal RNA, internal transcribed spacer 2, and large subunit ribosomal RNA". The stretch from base 1 to 120 matches the Rfam family "5.8S ribosomal RNA", at positions 35 to 154 of the family's 154-position model. The record is from RNAcentral.
GAUGAAGAACGCAGCGAAAUGCGAUACGUAAUGUGAAUUGCAGAAUUCAGUGAAUCAUCGAAUCUUUGAACGCAUAUUGCGCUCUCUGGUAUUCCGGAGAGCAUGCUUGUUUGAGUAUCAGUAAACACCUCAACUCCCUUUUCUUUUUUGAAAUUGGAGCUGGACUUGAGUGAUCCCAACGCUUUCUUCCAAGAAAGUGGCGGGUUGCUUGAAAUGCAGGUGCAGCUGAACUUUUCUCUGAGCUAUAAGCAUAUCUAUUUAGUCUGCCUAAAAAACAGAUGAUUACCUUUGCUGCAGCUAACAUAAAGGAGACUAGUUCUUGUGCUGACUGAUGCAGGAUUCACAGAGACAGCUUCGGCUGACUUUGUAAACUCGAUCUCAAAUCAAGUAAGACUACCCGCUGAACUUAAGCAUAUCAAUAAGCGGAGGA